UUGAAUACCUGGUACUGAUGCUGGCCUCCUGGGGCAUGUGCUCGUCCAUCUAUUUACCUUCUCUUGUGCACAUCUUGUAGUCUUGGAAAAGUGAACCUCUCGCAGCAAUGCGGUUUGGGGGAAUGGGCUCUCUGGGUCCUUCCUCUGCUUGCUUUCUUCAAGGCUAUGUUUUCAUAUACACUAUAAAGUUACAGAAUGUCUUUUAACGAUUGUGCUUGUCGCAGUCAUUAAACCUAUA
This 238-nucleotide unclassified non-coding RNA is filed under the name uncultured Mycena. Its description in RNAcentral is "sequence contains ITS1". Lineage: Eukaryota; Fungi; Basidiomycota; Agaricomycetes; Agaricales; Tricholomataceae. The record is from RNAcentral.